GUUUGCACUUGUCGGGGAAGGGUGAGAACCUUCGAUUAAGGUUCGACUCGAGCGAAAGCGAGAGAAUGUUGCCAACGGCAACGGCCCGUAGGGUGAGGAGCGAAGCGACGAAUAAUCCUUCCCCCAC
Molecule: small RNA, 127 nt
Filed under: Salmonella enterica
Lineage: Bacteria; Pseudomonadati; Pseudomonadota; Gammaproteobacteria; Enterobacterales; Enterobacteriaceae
Description: partial RtT sRNA
Rfam family: RtT RNA
About the family: This family represents a bacterial cis-regulatory element known as RtT RNA.
Source: RNAcentral